Molecule: non-coding RNA, 715 nt
Organism: Anolis sagrei ordinatus
Lineage: Eukaryota; Metazoa; Chordata; Lepidosauria; Squamata; Anolidae
Source: RefSeq, a predicted model, not a curated record
UCUCUCUCUCUCUGAGGCGACCCUCGAGCAAACCGGGACAGGCUCUCUGAGGCGGGCCCAAUCCCCGCCACACACAUUUAGAGAGGCCUGACUCUGAAGGAUUGCACAGUUGCACCAGAGUUCCUUGAAAAGAAGAAAUGAAGAGAUACAACUUUCUCCAUACCAAAAGAGCUCUACUUAUUGAUGUCUGCUUCUUCAGCAAUGGUUAAAGAAGCCACCCACCAAAAGCAGAUCUCAACCACUAAGAAAUUCUUUUCUAGAGGCUACAAUGCAUUCAUAUAAUACGUCGAACAAUUCUAUUUAGAAUUCCAAAAUCUGAAAUACUUCAAAAUCCAGAAUUGUCCCCAAGUGUGAAAAAGAUAGUGGCACCUUUACCUUCCAUGGCUGAUACCAAAUGAGAAACACUCUCCUGGGCACACAGAAGACUGGGCAACUUGGAAGGCGCUGAACAGACUACGCUCUGGCACCACGAAAUGCAGAUCUAACCUUAAGAAAUGGGGCUGCAAAGUGGAGUCUGUGACAUGUGAGUGUGGAGAAGAGCAAACCACAGACCAUGUAUUACAAUGUAGCCUGAGCCCUGCCACAUGCACAAUGGAGGACCUUUUUAUAGCAACACUACAAGUGGGCAGCUACUGGUCAAAGGACAUUUAAUAGAAUGGCAAGUUUUUAAACUUUUCUCAAACACAUUGGUUAAAUAAAUACCUUUGUCUUCUAA